CGUAACAAGGUCUCCGUAGGUGAACCUGCGGAGGGAUCAUUACACAAUAACAAGGCGGGCUGGACACCCCCAGCCGGGCACUGCUUCACGGCGUGCGCGGCUGGGCCGGCCCUGCUGAAUUAUUCACCCGUGUCUUUUGCGUACUUCUUGUUUCCUGGGUGGGCUCGCCCGCCAUCAGGACCAACCACAAACCUUUUGCAAUAGCAAUCAGCGUCAGUAACAACGUAAUUAAUUACAACUUUCAACAACGGAUCUCUUGGUUCUGGCAUCGAUGAAGAACGCAGCAAAAUGCGAUACGUAGUGUGAAUUGCAGAAUUCAGUGAAUCAUCGAAUCUUUGAACGCACAUUGCGCCCUUUGGUAUUCCAAAGGGCAUGCCUGUUCGAGCGUCAUUUGUACCCUCAAGCUUUGCUUGGUGUUGGGCGUCUUUUGUCUCCAGUUCGCUGGAGACUCGCCUUAAAGUCAUUGGCAGCCGGCCUACUGGUUUCGGAGCGCAGCACAAGUCGCGCUCUUUGCCAGCCAAGGUCAGCGUCCAGCAAGCCUUUUUUUUCAACCUUUGACCUCGGAUCAGGUAGGGAUACCCGCUGAACUUAAGCAUAUCA
RNAcentral lists this ribosomal RNA (600 nucleotides) under uncultured fungus. RNAcentral's name for it is "eukaryotic LSU rRNA". The stretch from base 237 to 390 matches the Rfam family "5.8S ribosomal RNA". The record is from RNAcentral. Lineage: Eukaryota; Fungi.